UACGAAGGGGGCGAGCGUUGUUCGGAAUUACUGGGCGUAAAGGGCGCGUAGGCGGCCGAUCAAGUCAGAUGUGAAAGUCCUGGGCUUAACCUGGGGACUGCAUUUGAUACUGAUUGGCUUGUAUGCAGGAGAGGAUAGCGGAAUUCCCAGUGUAGAGGUGAAAUUCGUAGAUAUUGGGAAGAACACCGGUGGCGAAGGCGGCUAUCUGGACUGUGAUUGACGCUGAGGCGCGAAAGCGUGGGGAGCAAACAGG
RNAcentral lists this ribosomal RNA (253 nucleotides) under uncultured bacterium. RNAcentral describes it as "partial 16S ribosomal RNA". It matches the Rfam family "Bacterial small subunit ribosomal RNA", at positions 524 to 776 of the family's 1533-position model. The record is from RNAcentral.